This 573-nucleotide ribosomal RNA is filed under the name uncultured Clostridia bacterium. RNAcentral describes it as "bacterial SSU rRNA". It matches the Rfam family "Bacterial small subunit ribosomal RNA", at positions 10 to 589 of the family's 1533-position model. Lineage: Bacteria; Bacillati; Bacillota; Clostridia. The record is from RNAcentral.
AGUUUGAUCAUGGCUCAGGAUGAACGCUGGCGGCGUGCCUAACACAUGCAAGUCGAGCGGAGGUUUAAGAGGUGCUUGCACCACUUAAACUUUAGCGGCGGACGGGUGAGUAACACGUGGGUAAUCUGCCUUAUACAGGGGAAUAACAAUGAGAAAUCAUUGCUAAAACCCCAUAAGCUCCCGCUGUCGCAUGACAGAGAGAGAAAAUAUUUAUAGGUAUAAGAGGAGCCCGCGUCUGAUUAGCUAGUUGGCAGGGUAACGGCCUACCAAGGCGACGAUCAGUAGCCGACCUGAGAGGGUGACCGGCCACAUUGGGACUGAGACACGGCCCAAACUCCUACGGGAGGCAGCAGUGGGGAAUAUUGCACAAUGGAGGGAACUCUGAUGCAGCAACGCCGCGUGAAGGAAGAAGGGUUUCGGCUCGUAAACUUCUAUCAACGGGGAAGAAAGAAAUGACGGUACCCGAAUAAGAAGCACCGGCUAACUACGUGCCAGCAGCCGCGGUAAUACGUAGGGUGCAAGCGUUAUCCGGAAUUACUGGGUGUAAAGGGUGAGUAGGCGGUAAGAUAAGUC